This 450-nucleotide ribosomal RNA is filed under the name uncultured archaeon. RNAcentral's name for it is "partial 16S ribosomal RNA". It matches the Rfam family "Archaeal small subunit ribosomal RNA", at positions 24 to 447 of the family's 1478-position model. The record is from RNAcentral.
CCCGACUGCUAUCGGAUUGGGAUUUAGCCAUGUUUUUUGUGCGUUCCUGCCUACAGGCGCGCAGCGUACGGCUCAGUAACACGGAGUCAACCUGCCCUGGAGACGAGGACAAGCCCGGGAAACUGGGGCUGAUCCUCGAUAGAUGACCUCAUCUGGAAGGAGUGGUCGUCCAAAGGGGGACACGGGUAUGCUCUGUGUCAUUCGCUCCAGGAUGGGACUGCGGCCGAUCAGGCUGUUGGCGGGGUAAUGGCCCACCAAACCUGUAACCGGUAAGGGGCUAGAGACAAGGAACCCGGGAUGGACACUGACACAAGGGUGCCGGCCCCACCGGGCGGCGGGGGCGGCAAACCAUACCUACGCCGCGACAGCCGUGACGAGGCUAGUCCGACUGCCCGCCGCUCGAGAGAGGAGGCCCCCGCCGGUAAAACGCCGCCGAGAUAAGGGGGGGGG